RNAcentral lists this long non-coding RNA (1819 nucleotides) under Olea europaea (common olive). RNAcentral's name for it is "long non-coding RNA (OEUR_LNC002971)". Lineage: Eukaryota; Viridiplantae; Streptophyta; Magnoliopsida; Lamiales; Oleaceae. The record is from RNAcentral.
UUACUACAGAACUGAUUAAACUCAUUAUUAUAGAAUUCUAAGCCAUUAUCAAUCCUAAGCACCUUAAUCCUUUUUCCAGUUUGAUUUUCCAUCUAAGUUUUCCAAAUUUUAAACUUUUUUAGAGUUUCAGAUUUAUGCCUCAACAAGUAGACCCAAACCUUUCUUGAGUAAUCAUCAAUCAAGGCUAUGAAAUAUAUAUCACCCCCUUGUGUGAUAGUAGAUGAAGGCCCCCACAGAUCAACAUGUAUAUAUUCAAGAAUAGAGGUGAUUAUAUUCUUACCAGUGUUAAAAUGCAACCUAUGCUGCUUAUUUAAAGUGCAAUUUUCACAAAAAUGCAAUUUAGAUAUAGAAUAUUUUCCAAACACACCCUUCUUAUAAAGGAUCCAUAAGCCCUUCUCUCCUACAUGAGCAAGUCUCUUUUGCCACUUUAAAGUGGCACCAAAUUCAGCACUAGAAGAUUCAGCAACAUUAUUAUUCAUAGUACUAGCCUUAACUACAUAGAUCCCAUUUCUUUUUAAUUCAUAGCAUUUUUUAUUCCUAGUCUUAAGAUUUUGACCUAUCCCCACUUUUAAACUUCUUCCUAUGACUUGUUCCCUGGUUGCCUAGACUUUCAUGUGUAGUAUUAGACCUAGUUAGGGUCCUAUCUCUAACAAAUAGGUUUUCUAAUGCACCAUUGUUCCUUUCAAUUUUCAAGUUCUUUACUUCUUAGUGAAUUGAUUACUAUAUCAGGAGUAAGGGUAUCUUUGCCAUAUUUUAUUUCAACUUUUACUUCCUUAUAUGUCUCAGGGAUAGCAUUUAAGAGUACAAUAGCUUUAUACUCUUCAGAAACUUUAUCACCGGCAUUAGUUAUGUCAUGUACCAACUUAUUAAAGGUGUCAAGACUAUCCUCUAGGUGUCAAGACUAUCCUCUAACUCCUUAGAGGGGUCAAUCCUAAAACUAAAGAAUUUUUCUAACAAAAACAAUUAGGUAAUGAUUUUACCAAAUAAAGCUUCUCUAACUCUUCCCACAAUUUUUUGGCAUCAUUAUGUUUACCAACUUUUCUCAAAACUUGAUCGGGCAAAUGCAAAAUGAUAGAGGUAUAUACAAGUUCAUCAGCUUCAUUCCUUUGAUCAGUUGUCAUAGCUUCAACUUUAGAGAACUUUUUGUUGGACUAAAAGACCUUUCAUUUUUUGUUGCCAAAUGAAAAAAUCUCAUUUUCCAUAAAAAACACCAAGUUCAAAAGAAAUACUUGUCAUUUUUAAUCAAGAAAUAACACACAGUAUUUCAAAAAAUUUAAAAAACUAGACAGCUAAUCGACUUUUGAACAAUACUAGUGUUUUGACCUUCACAAAAAAUUAGAGGAAUUAAAGAUUACAUAAAAAUGCAGCAACAAUAUUAGAAUAUCACAGUUAUAUAUAUUGCAGUAAAGACACAAUCCCAAAGAUCAAAGGAAUAACAGACUAAUCACGAUUGUCACACAAGAUGAUCAAAUUCACAAGGAUUCCGUGAGAAUCGUGUUAUCAGGUCAAGACUCAAUUUGAAACAUCUCAAGAAAGCACAAUACCCAACCGUAUCGACCCCCCCCCAAGAUAGGUGCGCGGGAAGACGAAGGAGGAUUAUAGGGCAGAUGGUAUGCACCUUUCAUGAUCUAGGCGUCAUUGAUGUAUUCUACUUCUUCUCCUUCUUUCUCGAGUAGGUGACAAAGAUCCCAAGAAUUAUAGUUACACCACAUAAAUGAGUAUAACGUGAGGAAAGCAAUCAAGAAAUGUAUCAAAUAUAUCCUAACACAAAAAAUAAUGAAAGAAUGCUAUAAGUAUUGUUGAUUGCAAACCAGUGGGU